UAAUUAUUUACGUAGCACAAAUAACCACAGAUCCACAACACUUUAUCCAAUUUCAUUAGUCAAAAAAUCUCUUCAAACCGACUAAUCAAAAUAAUCAAAUCCCCAUAAUAAUAAAACUCCUCCAUUCCCAAAUCUCAACACACAAAAAAAUGGCAAAAACCUCCAUAUUCUUCACCAUUUUGUUCAUCAUCAUCUCUGUAUGCUCAUCAAACCCGGAUCCAAACCCAAACCCGAACCCGACCCAAUCUCAGGCCCACAAAGAACUACUCACAUACGGGUUUCCCAUCGGCUUACUUCCCAAAAACAUCAACAACUAUGUCCUAAACACAACUUCAGGUCACUUCAUUGUUUCUUUAAGUGACACGUGUCGAAUCACCCUUCCACCAGACAACUACCUUGCAACAUAUUCCAAGAAAAUUACAGGCAAAAUUGUUGAGAAUAAAAUUGCUGAGCUUAAUGGGAUUAGUGUUAAGGCAUUUUUUAAAUGGUGGGGCAUUACUGGUAUUAGAUCUAGUGGUGAUAAUUUGGUGUUUGAAGUUGGUAUGGUUACUGCUAAAUACCCUUCUAAGAAUUUCAAGGAAAGUCCUGAUUGUGAAGGGAAAAAGAAACAUUCCUCUUUCUAAGCCUGCAGGGCCUUUUUCAGCUGCUGCUUAUGAAAUAAGCUCAACAAAGUUGGGCAUGAUGGUGCUGAUAAAACUCGCAAGUUCUCUUAGCAUAUUAUCUUAUCCGAUUAACGAUUUAGUAAAUUACGCAAGCAGUUGCUAAGUGGUAUUGUAUAUAUUAUCUUGAACGUUGUUAAUGGCUACAGAGAGACUGUUGACUCU
Molecule: long non-coding RNA, 824 nt
Organism: Lycium ferocissimum
Lineage: Eukaryota; Viridiplantae; Streptophyta; Magnoliopsida; Solanales; Solanaceae
Exons: 2
Source: RefSeq, a predicted model, not a curated record